This 253-nucleotide ribosomal RNA is filed under the name uncultured bacterium. RNAcentral describes it as "partial 16S ribosomal RNA". It matches the Rfam family "Bacterial small subunit ribosomal RNA", at positions 524 to 776 of the family's 1533-position model. The record is from RNAcentral.
UACGGAGGGUGCAAGCGUUAAUCGGAAUUACUGGGCGUAAAGCGCACGCAGGCGGUCUGUCAAGUCGGAUGUGAAAUCCCCGGGCUCAACCUGGGAACUGCAUUCGAAACUGGCAGGCUAGAGUCUUGUAGAGGGGGGUAGAAUUCCAGGUGUAGCGGUGAAAUGCGUAGGGAUCUGGAGGAAUACCGGUGGCGAAGGCGGCCCCCUGGACAAAGACUGACGCUCAGGUGCGAAAGCGUGGGGAGCAAACAGG